AUAGUUUGGUCUCUCUCUGUCAUUGAUUGUACAAUGCACACGCGUACCAGUUCAGUUUGUGAGUGUGUGAUGUGGCGGUUGGAGCCAUGUUUAUUUCGACAUUAUAGAGAACAAUGAUCUGAGACUUGCUGGUUGAAGACACUAAUGUGGUUUGACUUUCGUAUUUCUCACAUGCACCUCCCUGACUUCACUCCUCUUUUCUCUGCAGUCGGUUGCUUUCGCUUUACCACUCAAACACGCCCAUUAUGUUCCAUAGCCGGAACAUGCUUGAUUUUUUUUUUAAACUCCUGUAUGGACUACUGACUAGUAGUUAUAAUCUUCAUGUUUUUUUUUAAAAGUUUAGCUAUAGGUUAAUUGUAGGAGUCGUGCUUUGCUUACCAACUGAGGUAUACGUUAUCCAUCAUUAUUUGAGGUGACCUUUUCGGGCAUUUACUACAGUGGGUGCGUCAUUUCUUGAACAGGCCAGUAGGUGGCACUCGUCCAUGGGUCGUGCAGGGAUCCUUUCGCUUUGAUGGAUUUAAAAAUGUUUCCUUCUGCUGCGCUCAGCGCUCCAUAUUCGUGUGCACCCACGGGCCCCAAAACGUGCGCGCAAAAUAUCACUUUGCUUUGUCCGCUGCUUUAAUAGACGGUUUUCCGUAUGGGUUGCCAACUGCCACAUCGUUGGUGAAUGAAUUUUAGGCCUACAUGAACAUUAAGGGUAUCCAUCUGGCAUUUCAUGAUAUUUGAAGUGUCGUUUUUAGUCUAUUGAACUAUUCUCUACUCUACUCCAUCUUUCCACUUGCUUUAUUUUCCCGCUGAACUUUGUCUGGGUCACUGAGCUGCCCCUUAUUUUCACAUGUGUCCUGCCCCGUUACUUUUUCUCCCCUCCCCUCAUGUGUUCACUUGCCCCUCCCACUAACACACUACUCUGCUCUCUCCUCUCCUCUCACUCUCUUCCUCUCUCUCUGGAACACUCAAACCCACAGGCGUACAGAGGAGACACUCCCACACACAGCAACUCUACAGACAUGUCAGACUCCGAGACCGCCGCUCCGGCUGAGGCCCCCGUCCCUGCCGCAUGUGAAAGCAUCAAGGUGGACCUGGACAAAUGUGUGAAGGAGGGCGGUGACUGUAAGGAUCUGAUGGAGGCGUUUGCAGCCUGUCUGAAGAGUGCGGCGGAGGCGUCGUGAGGAGGAGCUAGGCUCACAGGAAAUGUCCACUGCAUUGAGUCCUCCAUGUUUACCAGUAUUCCCUUCUGCACAACGAGCACUGGGCUGAAUGAUACUGGCGGUGUUUGGCGCCUGGCAGAAACCCUCCACCUCUUACCUACCCCCCCCUCGAAGCUUAAAUGGUGUCUUCCGAUUUGUAUCCCCUGCUCUGCUCCCACCGUGGCUGAGUACAUCCAUUGGUAGACAAUUCCCAGAUAGCCCAUGGGUUUUAUGUAAGUUGUCCACUUAAGAUGCAUACAUUUAAAAUGGAAUAAUAAACUCUAAAAGAAAUUGGUAUAACAUUUUG
Molecule: long non-coding RNA, 1494 nt
Organism: Oncorhynchus tshawytscha (Chinook salmon)
Lineage: Eukaryota; Metazoa; Chordata; Actinopteri; Salmoniformes; Salmonidae
Source: Ensembl